GAGGGUAUAGCUCAGUGGCAGAGUGCAUGUUGAGCACGCAUGAGGUCCUGGGUUCAAUCCCCAGUACCUCCU
RNAcentral lists this transfer RNA (72 nucleotides) under Camelus bactrianus (Bactrian camel). It matches the Rfam family "tRNA". Rfam says of the family: Transfer RNA (tRNA) molecules are approximately 80 nucleotides in length. RNAcentral also lists the same sequence under 1 other name. Lineage: Eukaryota; Metazoa; Chordata; Mammalia; Artiodactyla; Camelidae. The record is from Rfam by way of RNAcentral.